AGGCUUAUAGUUCAACUGGUUAGAACGUAUCGCUCAUAACGAUAAUGUUGUAGGUUCAAGCCCUACUAAGCCUA
Molecule: transfer RNA, 74 nt
Filed under: Monodopsis sp. MarTras21
Lineage: Eukaryota; Eustigmatophyceae; Eustigmatales; Monodopsidaceae
Description: tRNA-Ile
Rfam family: tRNA
About the family: Transfer RNA (tRNA) molecules are approximately 80 nucleotides in length. Their secondary structure includes four short double-helical elements and three loops (D, anti-codon, and T loops).
Source: RNAcentral